Molecule: ribosomal RNA, 2247 nt
Filed under: Candidatus Woesebacteria bacterium RIFCSPHIGHO2_12_FULL_38_11
Lineage: Bacteria; Candidatus Woeseibacteriota
Description: bacterial LSU rRNA
Rfam family: Bacterial large subunit ribosomal RNA
Source: RNAcentral
GAUACUAACGCAGACAGUGGAUGCCUUGGCGCAUGUUGCCGAAGAAGGACGUGCAUGGCUACGAUAAUCGUCGGGGAGGAGCCACGAUCCAGUGAUCCGACGGUGUCCGAAUGGGGAAACCCAACCGAGUUCAUAUUCGGUUCUUCUACGGCCAAGUAUCCCGACUUGUCGGGAUUAAUAAUCGUAGAAAGGGUACCACCCAAACUGAAACAUCUCAGUAGGGUGAGGAAGAGAAAACAAAGUGAUUCCGUAAGUAGCGGAGAGCGAAAUCGGAAUAGCCCAAACCGCUCCGAUCCUUCGGGAUUGGAACGGGGUUGUAGGACUCCAAUGUGGGACCCACACCUUUUAGUAGAAUGAUCUGGAAUGGUCAAUCAUAGAGAGUGAAAAUCUCGUACACAAAAAAAGGUGGGGCUCUAGGAGUAUCCUGAGUACCACGGUCGAUAUCUCCGUGGGAACCUGGGGGAUCCAUCCUCCAAGGCUAAAUACAACAUGCGACCGAUAGUGAACCAGUACCGUGAGGGAAAGGCGAAAAGAAGGGCGGGACGCCCAGUGAAAUAGAACCUGAAACUGUUUGCGGACAAACCGAGAGAGCCUUGUGCCUUGCACAAGGAAAUCCAAAUGACUAAAUCCCAAAUCCAAAUAAUAAUUUUCGAAUUUUGAAAUUGGGAUUUUGGAUUUUCCUGCGCAGAGCGCAGGGUGAUCUCGUGCCUAUUGAAGAAUGAGCCGGCGAGUAUCCUUGUGAUAAAAGUCUAAGUCGCUUAAAGCGACGGAGGCGUAGCGAAAGCGAGUCUUAAUUAGGGCGUUUAUUAUCACAUGGAUGACCCGAAACCAGGUGAUCUACCCAUGAGCAGGGUGAAUCCCGAUGAAGAUCGGGAAGAGGCCCGAACCGUUGUAUGUUGCAAUAUGCUCGGAUGACUUGUGGGUAGGGGUAAAAUGCCAAUCGAACCUGGAGAUAGCUGGUUCUCCCCGAAAGGUCUAUGGGGACCGUGGCAAUGUUAAACGUAUGAGUGGUAGAGAUACUGGAUGGGUAAGCGAGGGUAACCGAGUUUACUUAACCAAACUCCGAAUAACUAUACGUAAUCCGUUGCUAGACAAUCUCAUCGGGCUAAGCUGAUGAGGUGAGAGGGAAACAACCCAGACUUUCGGCUAAGGCCUCUAAAUCACAACUAAGUUUUAAAGGAAGUCGAAAACCUUAGACAGCCAGGAGGUUGGCUUAGAAGCAGCCACCCUUUAAAGAAAGCGUAACAGCUCACUGGUUAAGGUUAUCGGCGCCUAAGAUUUAUCGAGGAUUAAGUUGUGUGCCGAAGCUAGAGAUCCGCAAGGAUGGUAGGGGAGCGUUCCAAAUGCAGUGAAGUUCAGUCGUAAGGCUGGGUGGAGUGUUUGGAAGUGAGAAUGCCGGCAUGAGUAGCGCACUAGAUGUGUGAGAAUCACAUCCGCCGAAUACCCAAGGUUUCCGUCGGGAGGUUCGUCCGCGACGGGUUAGUCGGUGCCUAAGGCGAGGCCGUUAUGGCGUAGUCGAUGGACAACUGGUCAAAAUUCCAGUACUUACCUUGGAUCGUUACACCGCAAGGUGCAUACGUAAGUAUGUUUAACUGGGGGUUAACUAGACAGGAUGAUUGAAGCCAGUUUACGAAGUCUGGUGCAAAUUGUGAGAUAGUAGCAGUUGGAAAAUCCGCUGAAACGAUUAAUCAAGCAAUGAUGCAGAGCUUCAGUCAAAUGGGGCGAUUUCAAACCAUUCAGUCUACAAGAAAAGACUCGCAGUGAGAUCCAAGAUAAGCCGUACCGCAAUCCGACACAGGUGGGUUGGUCGAGAAGACUAAGGCGAGCGAGAGAAAGAGGUUCAAGGAACUCGGCAAAAAAGCUGGACGUAACUUAGGGAGAUGUCCUGUCCCGAUUUUAUCGGGACCGCAGCAAACGAGUGCUAACCGACUGUUUAUCAAAAACACAGGUCCGUGCAAAGGCGUAAGCCGAAGUAUACGGGCUGACGCCUGCCCAGUGCCGGUAAGUUAAGUGGAUGGGUGUUUCAUCGUAAGAUGAUUUGCUCUGAAAUGAAGCUCCGGUAAACGGCAGCAGUAACUAUAACUGUUCUACGGUAGCGAAGUUCCUUGUCGGGUAAGUUCCGACGCGCACGAAAGGCGUCACGAGUUAGCAACUGUCUCGAGCCUCUACUCGGCGAAAUUGCGUUGGCUGUGAAGACGCGGCCUACUUCCACCAGGACAAAAAGACCCCGUGGAGCUUUACUGUAGC